GCUGCACAUGGUGGUGCACAUCUGUAAUCCCAGCAGCUGGGAGGCUGAGGCAGGAGGAUCAUGAGUUCAAAGCCAGCCUCAGCAACAGUGAGGUGCUAAGCAACUCAGUGAGACCCUGUCUCUA
This 124-nucleotide small RNA is filed under the name Marmota monax (woodchuck). Lineage: Eukaryota; Metazoa; Chordata; Mammalia; Rodentia; Sciuridae. The record is from RNAcentral.